ACGGAGGAUGCGAGCGUUAUCCGGAUUCAUUGGGUUUAAAGGGUGCGUAGGCGGACUAUUAAGUCAGCGGUGAAAUCCUGCAGCUUAACUGCAGAACUGCCAUUGAUACUGAUAGCCUUGAGUUUGGUUAAGGUAGGCGGAAUGUGUAAUGUAGCGGUGAAAUGCGUAGAUAUCACGCGGAACACCAAUUGCGUAGGCGGGUUCCUGGGCCGUGACUGACGCUGAGGCGCGAAAGCGUGGGGAUCGAACAG
Molecule: ribosomal RNA, 251 nt
Filed under: uncultured prokaryote
Description: partial 16S rRNA
Rfam family: Bacterial small subunit ribosomal RNA
Source: RNAcentral